GCAGUCGUGCGGGAAGCAGACUUCGGUCUGUGAGUAGAGCGGCGAACGGGUGCGUAAGACGCGGGUGACCUAUCCUGGAGGCGGGGAUACCCCUUCGAAAGAGGGGCUAAUACCGGAUGCGCCCACAGCCGGAGACGGGUGGGGGCAAAGGGUGCUGUUUACCAGCAGCACAUCUUCUGGGCGGGGCCCACGGCCUAUCAGCUAGUUGGUGUGGUAACGGCGCACCAAGGCGAAGACGGGUAGCUGGUCUGAGAGGAUGGCCAGCCACACGGGGACUGAGACACGGCCCCGACUCCUACGGGAGGCAGCAGUGGGGAAUAUUGGGCAAUGGGCGCAAGCCUGACCCAGCGACGCCGCGUGGGUGAUGAAGGCCUUCGGGUCGUAAAGCCCUGUCGGGUGGAAAGAACGAUUUCUGUGCAAAUAGCGCAGGGAUGUGACGGUACCACCGAAGGAAGCACCGGCCAAUUCCGUGCCAGCAGCCGCGGUAAGACGGAAGGUGCAAGCGUUGCUCGGAAUCACUGGGCGUAAAGCGUGCGCAGGCGGUUCUGUAAGUCAGAUGUGAAAGCCCCGGGCUCAACCUGGGAACUGCGUUUGAAACUA
Molecule: ribosomal RNA, 600 nt
Filed under: uncultured bacterium
Lineage: Bacteria
Description: bacterial SSU rRNA
Rfam family: Bacterial small subunit ribosomal RNA
Source: RNAcentral